AGGUGUGGUGCAGUAUCUUGUUCAAGGUUAUGCAGUGAGUCAGUAUUGAACCAGGAACCUGGUUCACCUCCUUUUGACUAAGAGACAAAAGCACCCUUCCAAGCAGGGAAUAGGAGCCAGGAUGCCCUGCUCUGGCCCAGUGACUAACUUGGCUGACCUUCAGGCAUCUCAGCUCUGACUAUGUUGCAGAGGAGUGAAAUGUUUCUUGUGAUUUGACGUUGCUGUACUGCAUAUGAUGAAAGCUACCUUGCAAAUGGACUCACUGAUGAUUAACCAUGGCAUAAAGAAUGAAACUGCUUGGAGGCUUUUCCUAGUGAUCUAG
Molecule: long non-coding RNA, 322 nt
Filed under: Lepidothrix coronata (blue-crowned manakin)
Lineage: Eukaryota; Metazoa; Chordata; Aves; Passeriformes; Pipridae
Description: lncRNA (ENSLCOG00000011276.1)
Source: RNAcentral